RNAcentral lists this ribosomal RNA (486 nucleotides) under uncultured bacterium. Its description in RNAcentral is "partial 16S ribosomal RNA". It matches the Rfam family "Bacterial small subunit ribosomal RNA", at positions 28 to 507 of the family's 1533-position model. The record is from RNAcentral.
GAUGAACGCUAGCGGCAGGCUUAACACAUGCAAGUCGAGGGGCAGCGCGGGAUAGCAAUAUCCUGGCGGCGACCGGCGGAAGGGUGCGUAACGCGUGAGCGACAUGCCCGUUGCCCGGGGACAACCGGUGGAAACGCCGACUAAUCCCCGAUGGGAUACGAUGCUCCAUGGCAUUGUAUUGAAAGUUACGGCGGCGACGGAUUGGCUCGCGUCCGAUUAGCUGGUUGGCGGGGUAACGGCCCACCAAGGCUGCGAUCGGUAGGGGUUCUGAGAGGAAGGCCCCCCACAAUGGGACUGAGACACGGCCCAUACGCCUACGGGAGGCAGCAGUGAGGAAUAUUGGUCAAUGGGCGGAAGCCUGAACCAGCCAUGCCGCGUGCGGGAAGGAGGCCCUAUGGGCUGUGAACCGCUUUUGCCUGGGGGCAAUAAGGGCGUCGCGCACGUCCGAUGAGAGUACCAGGCGAAUAAGCAUCGGCUAACUCCGUG